CUUCAGAGAAGGAAGCUUCAAGCAGUGAGGUGGGAGCAUCAUAGUUCAACUCCGUAGCCAGCUUUUCUGGGUUCAAACUCCGUUUCUUCACUUAUUAGCUCUCAGUGCCUUUAGAGACAUUACUUAACUUUCUGGGUCACAGUUUUUAUAUUUGUAAGGCAGGGAUGAAAAUAGCAUCCACACUGCAUAUUGCUGUGAGACUGAAAGCGUUAGGAGGCUGGAAAGCACACGAAUGGUGCCCAGCACAUAAUAAGUACUCAUUGAUGAAUGGCAGCCAUAUUUUGUUCUCCGGUAUUUGAUGCCUGAGGUCAUGUGAUACCACUGAUAUAGCAGAGACGAAGAAUGUUGAGUGGAUUAGGUAUUAAGCGAUUUUGACUCACCUAUUUACAGGAAGGCUAGCGGAGCGGCCUCUAGACGUGUGCCACACUUGCAUGGCUGUAUCAGCUUUUGUUGCAUAUCAAACCAUCCCAAAACUCUGUGGCUUAAAACAGUGUUUAUAUUUGGCAUGAACCUAUAGGUCAGCUGGGGGAUUCUACUGGUCCAGCAUGGGCUCAACAGAUUUGGGCUGGGCCCAGGAAGGUGUCCGAGGUCAGCUGGCACAGCUGAUGGGGCUGGCUGGUCCAAGACGACCUAACUUAGUUUUCUGGUGGUUGUCUGGCUGAAAUGACAGUGGUGGCUGGACCAUGUGUUCCUCAUCCUCCGGGAGGACAGCCUGUUCCUCUUCACUUGGCAGCUCACAGGACUCCAAGAGGGAGAGCAGAAGCCGAGGCUCAGGCUCAGAACCGGUACAAUGCCUCUUUCCGCCACACUCAGCAAAGCAAGUCGCCAGGCUGUAUCCACCUCUUGAUAGGAGGAAGUAGGGAGUAGCGUAGCAUGGCAAAAGUUGGGUAAAGACUAGUGUAGAGAAGUGCAGCUGUUUCUGCAACUGGCCCAUGGCGAGAAGAUCAAAGGUCACCUUGGGCAAGCUACUUACCCUCUCUAGGCUUCUCAUCUGCAAGUUCGCUUUGUAGUGAUAGUUCUCAUUUGUUGAGUGCUUACUGGGUACUGUAUGCUGAUGAUCUCUUUUAUCCUCAGACAUACCUCACAUAGCAUGUACUAUUACCCUCCUUGUACCGAUGAGGAAGCUGAAUGUCAGUGAAAGUAAAUAACUGAAAUGACAUCAGCUCCUGCAGCUGUCAGUCUGAAGCUGCAAGUCCAGGCUAGGCUGUCUGACCCCAGAGUAUGUCUGGGCAACUCCUUGUUGCACAGAAUCUCUUCUAGGCAUUUAUGAAGCUCUAAUCCUUGGUAUAUAGAGUUUAGCUUCCAAGUUGUUGUCCUAAUGCAGGCAAGCCUGGUCGCAGGUCUGCUGGGGCCUUGGUGAGGAGAGGAAAGCACAGGGGCCAUCAGGGCCACUUAAGUGGGAGCUGGGCCUGGCCCUCCAGAGGCAGCCGAAGAGUCCAGAAUGCAGAGUUCCAUGGGGUCAGGCCACCAUGGCUUGGUAUAGACAAGUGUUAAUUUUCAGAGGAGACCAAAUCAGCAGGGGUAGGGGAGGGGGUGCCUCAUGAAAUGGGAUGCCAGGGGGUAUUGGUGUCAUUUGUGGCAGCUUUGAUAGGAGCAUGCUGUAGUUCUGGUCCCCUGACCAGGGUUAGGUGUGUGCUUAUGGCUUAAACAAGCAGAUGAAGAGGUGAGAGUGAGGAUUUCAGCCUGACCAGCAUUCAUACACUCAAAAGAUGUUUACUGAGCGCCUGCAUGCACCAGGUGCUGUGCUGAGUCCAGAACAGCGGCCUAGGCAGGAGCACCAACUCUGCCCUCUAAUGGAGGUACUGCAGGAAAUGUAAGUGAGCCAACCCGUGAAAUGACUGCACGCUGUCAAAUGCAAAUAAGAAAUCGAGCUACAGCAUUGGUGUGUGUGUGUGUGUGUGUGUGUGUGUGUGUGUGUGUGUGUGUGUGGUGGGGAGGGAAUACUUGUGAAAGGCAGAUCAAGAUGCCUUCUUGGGGAGGGGACAGUGAAGCUGAGACCCAGUGGACUGUUGGAGCCACAUGUGGUAAGGGAGGGGCUGUCCUGGCAGAGGGAGGAGGGUGAGAUGGGGAAGGCUGGGCCUGUCCUCAAGGUGGAAGGAAGCCUCAGUGAGCAAAGAGUAGGAGGAAGCUGGACCUCGAUUGUCUUGGGCUUUGGGCCUUGUGCCUCGGGCAGGCGUUUAGAUUUUAUUUUAAGUACAAGGGGAAGCAAUUGCAGGGACUUAGGGUAGGGAUGACACCUGUGAUUUCUGUCUUGAGAUCACGUUUGCUGCUGCGUGGAGAAUGGAUUACAUGUUGGGUAAGAGUGGACACAGAGAGACCAGUUUUACACGACUGUCCUGUUCUGUAUCCAAGUGGAAAGCAUGAGGCCCUGGAUUGGGGAAGACAGAGAAGCCUACAGUGGGCACUGGGCAAUGAAUUAGGUACUACUGAUGACGGCAAGAGAUGCUACUUGAUGAUUUCUUUUUUUUUUUUUUUUGUGGCAAUUGUGAAUGGCAGUUCGUUCUUGAUUUGGCUCUCUUUAAGUCUGUUAUUGGUGUAUAGGAAUGCUUGUGAUUAUUUCUUAAUGAAGCCUGAAUUCCAUAGCACAGGAGUUAAAGCUGCUCUUCCGUGCUGCUAGCAAUGCUUUAAUAACAUCUUCUUGGAACAUUAUUCUAUUAGUCUGCUAGAGGUGCCAUAGCAAUCGGUGGACCACAGACUGGACUAACAGAAAUAAGUGAAACAAUACCAACUUAUUUCUUGAAGUUCUGGAGGCUAGACGUCCCAGGUCAAGGUGUCAGCAGGGUUGCUUUUUCUCUCUUGAGACCCCUCUCUUUGGCUUGCAGAUGACUGCCUUUUCCCUGUGUCCUCACAUGGUUUUUUCUGUGUGUUUAUAUGUAUGUGUAUGUCCAAGAUAACCUUUUCUUCCAAGGACAUGCACCGUAUUGCAUUAGGCCCCACCCUAAUGACCUCAUUUUAACCUACUUCUUUAAGAACCUUAUCUGCAAAUACGAUCACAUUCUGAGAAACUGGGGGUCAGGACUUCAACAUGUAAAUUUUGAGGGAACUCAAUUCAGUCCAAACAAUUAUUAUUUUUUUCUCUUCCCAUAACAAAGUGUGGCCUAGAAAACCACUUUCUACUUUUUAGGAGUCUGUAUUAUUUUCAAAAUAUUUAACUCAAUAAAGGAGCAAAAUUACAGGGCCUUUGCAGAGAUUACAUUCCCAAGACAAUGUGUAUCUACGUACAAUCCAUUAUUUAUUAAUUGGGUUUGUGAGACUCAUUCAUGUGCUUCUUGUUAUAAGCCUGUUUAGUUUUAUGGUGUCUUAUUGCAGGACUGAACUUGCUGCCUUCUGUAGGGCUCAGUUACCAUGGUAACAACUGGCUUCAUUGUAUCCAUAUUUUCACUCUAUUUCUGACCUGUUCAUUUGCAGACAAACUCAGAAUUUGGUUUCAAUCUAUUGUCUUGGCUCCUUGGCUCUAAAACUGCUAUGCAUGCACAAACAUGUAUGAAAACCAACUUCCAUGCAGUAUAUGUCACAGAGGAUUUGUGAAGAAAAACCUGCCUAUUGUCAGUGAGGAAAUGAUAGUAAAUGCCAUGCCUAUUAACAUCUUAACUCUUUUGUGGGAAAAACCCCCUUAAGUAUCAUAUUCUUUGCCACAUUUAUUCCCUGCAGUGCUGAACAACCUGGCAAAGUCAGCACCUGAGGAAUACUUCAAAGAAAACCAGGUUUUGGAAUAUGCAACUGAAAUUUCCAACUUAUUGGAUAAAGUCCCGUGAUCAAGCAACCAUGAAAUACAUAGAAGGUUCGUUGCCUGAAAUACGUCUCACAAAAAUGAAACUUCAAGAGUGCUUAAAUGUCAGGAAAAGCUUGUUUGGCGAGAAAAACAUGCUGGUUGGAGAAGUUAUGGAAUUUUUAGCAGAUUUGCUGUUUUUUUUCUCCAGAGAGAUAGUAAAAACAGGUGUUUUUUGAGACACUUGACGCCACACACGCCUCUUCUUACUCAUGUUAAGACCAGCACUGUGAGCAGAGAACAGGACUUCCUUUACAGAAGCAAAAAGCUGGACCAUAGAACCGUUAUCUUGUAAAAGAAAUAUCUAAACACUUAGCGUACUGACUGAGUCAUCUCUCCUGCCCGGCUGCCCCACGCCAAGUCACAAGCCACUGAGUGCUGCCUGGCUAUUCUGCAGGGACAGCCUUGGCGACCAUACAUGGAUGGCUUCCUGCAGGCCUCACUGCCAAUGGCCAACCUUCAGAAACAACGGAGAAGUCGGCCUUGGCCUCGUUGAAGGCUAUCCUUGGAUUAUCCAGCGUCUUUCCCAUUGGUUCAAACCAGGAGACAUUUUGUUGCAUAACUUGGCUCACCUCUCAACCACGCGUAGACCCUUUGCCCUGGUGGCCAGGGGCCCUUGCGACAGCACUCAUGCACCACGGAAAUGAUCCAUGGGAUCCUGAGGGCCUUGUAGAAGGGGGCUGGGUAGAGCUGGACAAAUGAAAUCAAAUUUAAAAGUUAAAGUUAAGAAAGCAGAUCAGAGAAGAGUGAACAAAAUGUUUGAAGAGGAACAGUGACAGAUUCUCAGUGAAAUGACUAUCAUCUACUUUCCCCAACCAUUUGGCCAUCCAUCUGUAGUUCCCCUGCUGUCAGUAUCCUGAAUGGCAGCUGAGGCUCAGCUUCUUUUGUGGGUUCCUUUUCUUUCCUUGCCUCUGGCCCAAAUAUCAGCAUCCUCUUGGGCUCGGUUCCUGGGCUCUAUUCUUGUCUCAGACUGAGCACAUCGGCCCUACCAGGGCCCAGGGCUUUAGCUGCUGUUCUGUAAGACCCCAAAGGAAGCAAGUACUUAAAUAUUAUAAACAAGUGAUAAAAAUACAGGAAAAUGCAGAAACUCUGGCUAAGUCCUCACUCGUCAGGAAGCAGCUGUCAGCCUCAGUGAUACAUUAUAUAAAUUAGGCCAAUGCAACUUGCUCAUCAAGAACAGGGUAAUUCACUAGUGUCUUCUGCUGAGCCAGAUUGAGGCACCUGGGAACAUCACAGGGAGUCAUGAAAAUAAUCCAAAAAGAAGAAACAUAGUCACAGAUCGCUAAGCAGAGACAGCAGCUGAAAUUCCCUGUGGGAUUUCCAGAGAAAGCUACAGGAAAUGUGAGACACAGAGUGUGAUCCAUGAAGCACAGCAGCAGAGAAAGAACAUCUCUACAAGCAGAAGCCACGGCUGAUAUUCAGAAGCACAAUCCAGAAUGGGGAAGAGGCAGCCUAGUGUGGGAGUGCAGGGCGUGAACUUGGGGAUGAGGCUGACUCAGGACUGUUCUUCCAUGAACUAGAACAAGUUCUUUAACCUCUUCCAGCAUGCUCAUCUUCAAAAGACAAGUAAAAUGAAACAUGAACUAAAAAUUCUCUGGAAGGACACAUUAGAAACUAACGUCAGUGGUUCCAUUUUAGAAGACUACACAGAUGGGGAAAGAGAAGGGAAAGACACUUUUCACUUUAUAGUUUGAUACAUUUUCGUUUUUGAACCAGGUGGACAGGUGAUGAUCGUUUAUACCUUAUAAGAUUACACAGUCCUGACAGAUGCAGGUCAGUUAUUGUCGAGUGACUCUUGUCAUCACGUCAUGAUUGAGGCAGUGGGCUACUUGUACAGAUCACUUGAUUUAAGGGUGAUUCACCUGGGAUCUUCUCAUUCAUCAAUCCAUGGAAUCCUGCACCUUCUGAGAGAAAUUGAGUGGAUCCGGAGCUGGAGAUGUUGGCUUCAAGGUAUGAGCCAGUCACAUUCUGCGGGUUCUAGGAAUGGCUUCUCAUUAUGGGAGAACUUGCUUAAAUUAAGCUAUCACAGAGCUCAGAGUUCUAAUACAGUGAGCUCUGCAAGGUACACAAAUGCAGAUAACUUAUACAGGGCUACGAAAUGGACUUAGCUCCUCAGGCAAUUUCAGCUAAAUCAAAAUGUGCUUCUGGAAAAGGGAAAAAGAAACCCAUUAUUUGCAAAUCUGCUAUGGAAAAGAUAUAACGAAAGACACAAAAUAAUGCCGAAAUAUGGAAUGGCUAAGGAAAGGAAGCACCAAAGAAAGACUAUUCAUCUAACAUUUUAUCAUUGGGUAAAACGAAUGGUUUAGUAAAGCUUCCAAGGGAAAUAAUUUUGUUACCUAAAAGUGAGAGUGGAGAAGGUGAAAUCACCACCAUUGACUGCUGUCCCCUGCUAUGGCCUCUUAGCACAAAAAACCCUUGGGAAUCCAUAUCUGAGCUCAUAUCAGAAAAGUGGCUUUUUCAUAGCCCAGAUUAUAUUUUGAUGUCUCAGAAGUCUUUUUUGCAGAGAAGAUCUCAUGUUUUUUUUUUUGCAUUUUAGGUUUUGGGGUACAUGUGCAGAGCAUGCAAUACAGUUGCAUCGGUACACACAUGGCAGUGUGUUUUGUUUGCUUUCUCCCCUUCACCCACAUUUGGCAUUUCUCCCCAGGCUAUCCCUCCCCACCUCCCCCUCCCACUUGCCCUCCCCUUUUCCCCCCAAAAGACCCCAGUGUUUAGUACUCCCCUCUCUGUGUCCAUGUGUUCUCAUUUUUCAUCACCCACCUAUGAGUGAGAAUAUGCGGUGUUUCAUUUUCUGUUCUUGUGUCAGUUUGCUGAGAAUGAUGUUCUCCAGAUUCAUCCAUGUCCCUACAAAUGACACGAACUCAUCAUUUCUGAUUGCUGCAUAAUAUUCCAUGGUGUAUAUGUGCCACGUUUUCCCAAUCCAGUCUAUCAUCAAUGGGCAUUUGGAAGAUCUCAUGUUGAAACAAAAUUGUUGAAGAGCUCAAAUGAUAUUAAUAAAUAAUAAACAUUUAUCAUGGGCUUCUUGA
Callithrix jacchus (white-tufted-ear marmoset) is the source of this 6792-nucleotide non-coding RNA. Lineage: Eukaryota; Metazoa; Chordata; Mammalia; Primates; Cebidae. The record is from RefSeq and is a predicted model, not a curated record.